GGAUGCGAUCAUACCAGCACUAAAGCACCGGAUCCCAUCAGAACUCCGAAGUUAAGCGUGCUUGGGCGAGGGUAGUACUAGGAUGGGUGACCUCCUGAGAAGUCCUCGUGUUGCAUUCC
This 119-nucleotide ribosomal RNA is filed under the name Triticum aestivum (bread wheat). Lineage: Eukaryota; Viridiplantae; Streptophyta; Magnoliopsida; Poales; Poaceae. The record is from RNAcentral.